This 465-nucleotide ribosomal RNA is filed under the name uncultured bacterium. RNAcentral describes it as "partial 16S ribosomal RNA". It matches the Rfam family "Bacterial small subunit ribosomal RNA", at positions 28 to 507 of the family's 1533-position model. The record is from RNAcentral.
GAUGAACGCUGGCGGCGUGCUUAACACAUGCAAGUCGAACGGAAAGGCUCCUGCUUGCAGGGGUACUCGAGUGGCGAACGGGUGAGUAACACGUGGGUGAUCUGCCCUGCACUUCGGGAUAAGCCUGGGAAACUGGGUCUAAUACCGGAUAGGACGAUGGUUUGGAUGCCAUUGUGGAAAGUUUUUCGGUGUGGGAUGAGCUCGCGGCUUAUCAGCUUGUUGGUGGGGUAAUGGCCUACCAAGGCGUCGACGGGUAGCCGGCCUGAGAGGGUGUACGGCCACAUUGGGACUGAGAUACGGCCCAGACUCCUACGGGAGGCAGCAGUGGGGAAUAUUGCACAAUGGGCGCAAGCCUGAUGCAGCGACGCCGCGUGGGGGAUGACGGCCUUCGGGUUGUAAACUCCUUUCGCUAGGGACGAAGCGCAAGUGACGGUACCUGGAGAAGAAGCACCGGCUAACUACGUG